Long non-coding RNA from Lycium ferocissimum, 1718 nucleotides. RefSeq lists it as uncharacterized. The record is from RefSeq and is a predicted model, not a curated record. The transcript has 2 exons. Lineage: Eukaryota; Viridiplantae; Streptophyta; Magnoliopsida; Solanales; Solanaceae.
UGGAUAUCUUUGCAUUUGUCAAAUUAUGAGGUCAUGUAUACAGUGUCAUGAUUUCUGAAAACAGCUCAACAGAGUAGAUGGGGUGAGUAAUGAGGCUCACAUCAAUUAUACAAUUACCUGGAAGGAUAUCUUGUACAUGGUGAAGAGUUAAGUCGCCUAAUACAUCAUCAUGAUCGAUGGAAAUCAGCUCAAUAGUAUUAGACUGUGUGAGUAAUGGCUCACAUUAUCUUGUUACCUUGAUGGUUAUCAUAACUAUUAUCAAAUCACGAGGUCACUUCAUGCAGUUUCAUGAUUGCUGAAGAUCAGCUCAUGAUAAUGGAUGGGGUGAGCAAUGAGGACAUAUUAUUACAGAAUUACCUCGAUGGAUAUCUUGUAUAGUGCCUUGAAGAGUGAAGUCACUGUCAUGAUCCUAAAAUCACCUAAGAGAAUUAUGAGACUGGGUGAGUAAUGGCUACCAUUGUAUUGUUACCUGGAUGGAUAUCUCAACAGUUUCCGAAUUAUGAGGUCACUUCAUACAUUGUCAGGAUGCUGAAAAACUACUUCAGAUAAUAGUUCAGGUUAGUCAGGUUCAUAGUUUACAAUUAUGCAAAUUGCAUGGAUGGAUAUAUUGUAAAUGUGUGAGAGUUGAAUCACUUAAUACAGUGUCAUGAUUGCUGAAAAUCAGCUCAAGAGAAUUAGCCUGGGUGAGUAAUUGGUUUGUAACCUGGAUGGAUAUCAUAACAGUUAUCAGGUCACUUCAUAUAGUGUCAUGAUUGCUCAAAAUCAGCUCAAGGUAAUACAUUGGCUGGGUAAAGUCGCAUUACACUUAUACAAUUGGAUGGAUGUCUUGUUAUAUGAGUGGGAGUUGAAUCACUUGAAGAAAUGUGGAGUUACCAACAACAGCUAUAGCAAUAACAUGGAUGGAUAUCUCGUCUAUGGAUGAUAUCUUGUAUGUGGUGAAGAGCUAAUAACAAUAGCAACAACAGCUAUGGCAAUAACAUGGAUGGAUAUCUCGUACAUGGUUCGUUAUCUUGUAUAUGGUGAAAAGUUAACAGCAGCAGCAGCAACAUGAAUGGAUAUCUCGUAUAUGGUAAAAAGUUAACAGCAGCAACAAGAAGAAGUGUAUCAUAAUACCAAAUAAGUUGGACGGUGAAGAGUUAUCAAGUAGCUCCAAGACAUAGGAUGUGACAAUGUCAGUUAGAGGUGACAAAUAGUUGGACAGCAUUGCUGGAGGAAGGUAGCAGGUGCUUGGUGGAAUAGUCGAAGUGCGGGAAUAGUUGAAAUGCGCACAAGCUGGCUGAACACCAACAACAACAACCACCGUCAUAAAAAAAAUUGUCUGUAUACUACUUUUCUUGCUUCAAGAUCGGCAUCUUUGGCUCCUUGAUAGACAAUGCUGUUGGUGAUAUAGUAAAGAGUAGAUGGAUGGCAGCAGGGUUAAGGUUACGUUUUGGCGAACUUUCUGGGGUAAGAGAAAAUCUCAACAUUGCCUCUUCUGCUUCACAAGUGUUGGAAUAUCUAGCAAUUGAGCUUAGGAGUAGCUUGAGGAGAAUGUAAAGGUUAAAGGUCCAGUUCCAGAUAAGUCUGUUUUUAGCAAAUCUGAGUACAAGAUGGUAUUAUGAGAAUCUGCUGAUUCUCUUUUAUAUUAAGUACUUUGGUAUUGUAAAUAUAUGUACUCUAGGAUCUUUUCCUAUGUGCUGACUGUAGUUUGUGAAGCUUGAAACUGUUGUUAUUGUACU